RNAcentral lists this transfer-messenger RNA (369 nucleotides) under Chitinophagales. RNAcentral's name for it is "JACMJP01 sp014380545 Standard tmRNA". It matches the Rfam family "transfer-messenger RNA". From Rfam's summary of the family: Bacterial tmRNA, also known as 10Sa RNA or SsrA, is named for its dual tRNA and mRNA-like properties. RNAcentral also lists the same sequence under 1 other name. Lineage: Bacteria; Pseudomonadati; Bacteroidota; Chitinophagia. The record is from RNAcentral.
GGGGUUGACAGGAAUUGACAGCAUCGUUCAUUGACAGGUAAGCAUGCAGAGCAUUGUAAGUUGGCUCUUUAAUAUCAACUUACGAAACAAAUUUUAAAUGGCGAAUCUAACUUCGCAAUCGCUGCCUAAUUCAAGGUAAUUAGAUAGCUUUCGUUCUUUAUAGAGUUUGUCUUAUACUUUAUAUCUGAACGUCGAAACAUAAGGCUGGUUUUGCAAAGCUCCGGUGCAAAAUAAGAAAAAGGAGAUAAGAAUAUUUUAAUGGUAAGAUAUAGCACCUGAAAUAUUUCGAAAACCAAGAAAUGUCUAAGCAUGUAGAAAGCUUGCUAAUGCCUUGUCUGGACGAGGGUUCAAAUCCCUCCAACUCCACAA